Molecule: long non-coding RNA, 868 nt
Organism: Vitis vinifera (wine grape)
Lineage: Eukaryota; Viridiplantae; Streptophyta; Magnoliopsida; Vitales; Vitaceae
Exons: 2
Source: RefSeq, a predicted model, not a curated record
GGUGACAGUAGCAGUGUCCUAUGUAGUGGUUUUGGCGCUGUCUAGAACUCAUCAAAGCUGUUAAUUGUUCUGGCCCAUAAACAGGUAAUGUUAAUUUGAACACCCCUGAAAAUAGAAGAGAAUAAUGGGAGACGGUCCGCCUUUUCCAAUGACAGAUAAGCCAAAGUUGCCUACCUGCAAAACCCAGGCACUUUGGCUCUAUCUAUGGAACUAUUUGUAAGAAAGAAGCCUUUCCUGCCGCCUUCUCCAUGUCCUGUCUUUCUCCUUCCAUGGAGUUUCUUCUGUCUUGGGCUCCUCUACUUUUCCUAUUUUAACAACUCCUUAAAUCCAACUCCUCAUUGCUUGUUGCUCUGAACUUUGAAGGAGUGAGAAAGAGAGAGUCCUAGAAAGCUGAAAUUGAUAUAUAGACAUAAAGAAUAAGAAGACUACUGGGAUUGAGAGAUACAGAUCCCCUGCACAAGCAGUUCCCCUGGGUUUCCUCUAGCAAAUUACCUGUGCUACUUUUGAACUGAGAUGGAGCUUGAGGCUGACUGACUUCUAUGAUUUCGUCUCGGAAUAUUGUUCUGCCUGGCUCCCUGAAUGCCAUCUAAGAAGCUUGUUAAAGAGUGUUGACAACCUUCCUAUUUGGCAUGAGGGGAGUCAAGCAGGCGAAACACUUGGUGAUCAUGAUGUCAAGCGCAUUUCCAUGGAGGCAUCACCUCUUCCAACUGAUCAAAAUCUGUAAUUUUCUUUCCUCUGUUCUUAUCAUACAGCCAAACACCUUAUCCAUUUUGCCUUCUCAAAUAAACUAAAGGUGUAGCAACAAUCAGUAGUCUUAAAAAUCCCAAAGAACUGUGACCAUUCAUUUUCCAAUUUAUUCUUCAAAGUA